GAAGAUACAGCUCAGUGGUAAAGUAUAUGCUUAGCAUGCAUGAGGUCCUGGGUUCAAUCCCCAGUACCUCCA
This 72-nucleotide transfer RNA is filed under the name Camelus bactrianus (Bactrian camel). It matches the Rfam family "tRNA". From Rfam's summary of the family: Transfer RNA (tRNA) molecules are approximately 80 nucleotides in length. Their secondary structure includes four short double-helical elements and three loops (D, anti-codon, and T loops). The record is from Rfam by way of RNAcentral. Lineage: Eukaryota; Metazoa; Chordata; Mammalia; Artiodactyla; Camelidae. RNAcentral also lists the same sequence under 2 other names.